RNAcentral lists this ribosomal RNA (522 nucleotides) under uncultured bacterium. RNAcentral describes it as "bacterial SSU rRNA". It matches the Rfam family "Bacterial small subunit ribosomal RNA", at positions 355 to 895 of the family's 1533-position model. The record is from RNAcentral.
UGGGGAAUAUUGGACAAUGGACCAAGAGUCUGAUCCAGCAAUUCUGUGUGCACGAUGAAGUUUUUCGGAAUGUAAAGUGCUUUCAGUUGGGAAGAAAGAAAUGACGGUACCAACAGAAGAAGUGACGGCUAAAUACGUGCCAGCAGCCGCGGUAAUACGUAUGUCACGAGCGUUAUCCGGAUUUAUUGGGCGUAAAGCGCGUCUAGGUGGUUAUAUAAGUCUGAUGUGAAAAUGCAGGGCUCAACUCUGUAUUGCGUUGGAAACUGUAUAACUAGAGUACUGGAGAGGCAAGCGGAACUACAAGUGUAGAGGUGAAAUUCGUAGAUAUUUGUAGGAAUGCCGAUGGGGAAGCCAGCUUACUGGACAGAUACUGACGCUGAAGCGCGAAAGCGUGGGUAGCAAACAGGAUUAGAUACCCUGGUAGUCCACGCCGUAACGAUGAUUACUAGGUGUUGGGGGUCGAACCUCAGCGCCCAAGCAAACGCGAUAAGUAAUCCGCCUGGGGAGUACGUACGCAAGUAU